This 458-nucleotide long non-coding RNA is filed under the name Physcomitrium patens. Its description in RNAcentral is "long non-coding RNA (PPAT_LNC002949)". The record is from RNAcentral. Lineage: Eukaryota; Viridiplantae; Streptophyta; Bryopsida; Funariales; Funariaceae.
CAAUUACCCUCAUUUCAAUCACUGGAAUUCUUCACACAAAACUGCCAUUCACAUUACGGUGUUUCAUACAAACACGGACUCAUUCUCUCUGCUAAACUACAAUCAAAUUUCAGCAUUCAAUCUUUCUUCUUCUCAAAUAAUACCAAUUACAUUUCUAUUCCAUAAUUCACUUCACAAUAUUCAAAAACUCUCAAUCCUCUUAUUCAAAGAAAAUAACAAACAAAAGAAAAGAGGUAGUAGCAAGUUUAGCUCGGCUCACAACUAUCAUAGCGAUGGCACCUUAAUUAACUUCUACAACUCCUAUAUACUUUUUUUUGAUUCUCCAGAUUCUCACCGUAAUUCUAUAAUUAAUUACUUUUAAGAACUAAAUCACUCAUCUGUCCUCCUCAAUUUCCUAUUAUAUGGACUAUCAAUAUAUUUUAUCAAUAUCUUUUAAAAAUAAAUUAAUAUCUAUUCUA